RNAcentral lists this ribosomal RNA (300 nucleotides) under uncultured Bacillus sp. RNAcentral's name for it is "bacterial SSU rRNA". The stretch from base 52 to 300 matches the Rfam family "Bacterial small subunit ribosomal RNA", at positions 547 to 795 of the family's 1533-position model. The record is from RNAcentral. Lineage: Bacteria; Bacillati; Bacillota; Bacilli; Caryophanales; Bacillaceae.
GGUAAGUCCGGGCGAGGGGCGGGGGGAAAAUGGUGGGGGGUGUGGUUUGUCGGAAGUACGGGGCGGAAAGCUGACGUAGGCGGCUUUGUAAGUUAGAGGGGAAAGCCCGGGGCUCAACUCCGGAAUUGACUUUAAGACUGCAUCGCUAGAAUUGUGGAGAGGUAAGUGGAAUUCCGAGUGUAGAGGUGAAAUUCGUAGAUAUUCGGAAGAACACCAGUGGCGAAGGCGACUUACUGGACACAUAUUGACGCUGAGGUGCGAAAGCGUGGGGAGCAAACAGGAUUAGAUACCCGUGUAGUC